This 685-nucleotide ribosomal RNA is filed under the name Serratia sp. A25T1. RNAcentral's name for it is "bacterial SSU rRNA". It matches the Rfam family "Bacterial small subunit ribosomal RNA", at positions 56 to 730 of the family's 1533-position model. Lineage: Bacteria; Pseudomonadati; Pseudomonadota; Gammaproteobacteria; Enterobacterales; Yersiniaceae. The record is from RNAcentral.
UGCAAGUCGAGCGGUAGCACGGGAGAGCUUGCUCUCUGGGUGACGAGCGGCGGACGGGUGAGUAAUGUCUGGGAAACUGCCUGAUGGAGGGGGAUAACUACUGGAAACGGUAGCUAAUACCGCAUGAUGUCGCAAGACCAAAGUGGGGGACCUUCGGGCCUCACGCCAUCGGAUGUGCCCAGAUGGGAUUAGCUAGUAGGUGGGGUAAUGGCUCACCUAGGCGACGAUCCCUAGCUGGUCUGAGAGGAUGACCAGCCACACUGGAACUGAGACACGGUCCAGACUCCUACGGGAGGCAGCAGUGGGGAAUAUUGCACAAUGGGCGCAAGCCUGAUGCAGCCAUGCCGCGUGUGUGAAGAAGGCCUUAGGGUUGUAAAGCACUUUCAGCGAGGAGGAAGGCGUUGUAGUUAAUAGCUGCAGCGAUUGACGUUACUCGCAGAAGAAGCACCGGCUAACUCCGUGCCAGCAGCCGCGGUAAUACGGAGGGUGCAAGCGUUAAUCGGAAUUACUGGGCGUAAAGCGCACGCAGGCGGUUUGUUAAGUCAGAUGUGAAAUCCCCGAGCUUAACUUGGGAACUGCAUUUGAAACUGGCAAGCUAGAGUCUUGUAGAGGGGGGUAGAAUUCCAGGUGUAGCGGUGAAAUGCGUAGAGAUCUGGAGGAAUACCGGUGGCGAAGGCGGCCCCCU